UACCAUGGUGGUAACGGGUAACGGGGUGUUAGGGCACGACACCGGAGAGGGAGCCUGAGAAACGGCUACCACAUCCAAGGAUGGCAGCAGGCGCGCAAAUUACCCAAUCCCGACACGGGGAGGUAGUGACAGUAAAUAACAAUACGGGGUUCUUUAGGAUCUCGUAAUUGGAAUGAGUACAAUUUAAAUCUCUUAACGAGGAACAAUUGGAGGGCAAGUCUGGUGCCAGCAGCCGCGGUAAUUCCAGCUCCAAUAGCGUAUAUUAAAGUUGUUGCAGUUAAAAAGCUCGUAGUUGAAUUUCGGGGUCAGUAGGUCGGUCGUGCCACUGGUAUGAACUGGUUUUACUGAUUCCUCCCUCUUGAAGAACUGUAAUGCCAUUAAUUUGGUGUUGCAGGGAAUCAGGACUGUUACUUUGAAAAAAUUAGAGUGUUUAAAGCAGGCUUUAGCUUGAAUACAUUAGCAUGGAAUAAUGAAAUAGGACGUUUGAUCCUAUUUUGUUGGUUUCUAGGAUUGACGUAAUGAUUAAUAGGGAUAGUUGGGGGCAUUAGUAUUCAAUUGUCAGAGGUGAAAUUCUUGGAUUUAUUGAAGACUAACUACUGCGAAAGCAUUUGCCAAGGAUGUUUUCAUUAAUCAGAAAGAAAAGUUAGGGGAUCGAAGACGAUCAGAUACCGUCGUAGUCUUAACCAUAAAAUAUGCCGACUAGGGAUCGGAUGAUGUUAAUUUUUUAAUGUUUCUUUAGGCCCCUUCCGGGAAACCAAAGUGUUU
Molecule: ribosomal RNA, 765 nt
Filed under: uncultured Glomus
Lineage: Eukaryota; Fungi; Glomeromycota; Glomeromycetes; Glomerales; Glomeraceae
Description: SSU rRNA
Rfam family: Eukaryotic small subunit ribosomal RNA
Source: RNAcentral